Molecule: ribosomal RNA, 379 nt
Filed under: uncultured bacterium
Lineage: Bacteria
Description: bacterial SSU rRNA
Rfam family: Bacterial small subunit ribosomal RNA
Source: RNAcentral
UAAUACGGGGGGAGCAAGCGUUGUUCGGAUUUACUGGGCGUAAAGGGCGCGUAGGCGGUCAGCGCAAGUCAGUUGUGAAAUCUCGGGGCUUAACCCCGAGCGGUCAACUGAUACUGCGCGACUAGAGUGCGGAAGGGGCAACUGGAAUUCUCGGUGUAGCGGUGAAAUGCGUAGAUAUCGAGAGGAACACCUGCGGCGAAGGCGGGUUGCUGGGCCGACACUGACGCUGAGGCGCGAAAGCCAGGGGAGCGAACGGGAUUAGAUACCCCGGUAGUCCUGGCCUUAAACGAUGAAUGCUUGGUGUCUCGGGUUUGAAAGUCCCGGGGUGCCGUCGCUAACGCAUUAAGCAUUCCGCCUGGGGAGUACGGUCGCAAGACUG